Long non-coding RNA from Daphnia pulicaria, 836 nucleotides. RefSeq lists it as uncharacterized. The record is from RefSeq and is a predicted model, not a curated record. NCBI's taxonomy places the organism in Eukaryota, Metazoa, Arthropoda, Branchiopoda, Diplostraca, Daphniidae. The transcript has 3 exons.
AAUCACUUGAUACACUCUCCAUGCUGUUCAGCAGAUUUGAAACUUGAGGAUGACCACAAGAUAUGCCAGUUUGGCUUGUGCUGAUUUAUUGACCAGUCAUCAGCAUCAAUCUUAUUAUCAUCGCUUUGAUAAACAGCAUCCCUCUUGGUUGAAGAAACUUCUAAUGACGGCGUUACCGGAUCUUUCACUUUCUUUAAAUCCCCUUUCUCCUCGUGUACACUCAUGUGAGUGUGGGUGUUAUUAGACCCGUACGAGUCUGAGCCCCAGCAUUUUCCUAUCCCGCCUGGUGGAUUCAACUCUUCAGCGAAUGGAGCACUUUUGGAUGCCUGGCCGUGAAUUUCCCAGGCUUAAAGGUAGGACAAACGUUUCUCUCUAUUCUUCCUUUGGCGUUGAUUAUAAAUCUUUAAGGCCUACGAUUAUUUAUGAGCUAGGCUGUUGACUGUUUUCUCUUGCCGUUUUUGUUAACUCAGUCAGGGUUCAUUAAAUAACUCAUUCGUUAGAAGAACUCUGCACAUCAGGCCUGUACGUCACAACUUACGUCUUUGGGUCGCAAAUAUUUUAACUUUAAACACUUGAAGCAAAGUGCCACUAGAGAAAGGGACGUGCCGCCACACCUCCUCGUUAUCGACCUAAAAUUUCACUUGAUCGGAUUUUUAAGUUGAAACUCUUUUAUAUAGGCCCACACACAAAGCAGAGCGAGGGCGGGUCACUAUUGAGUGAGAAUGGGGCUACAGCUAAGGAUCGAUGAAAACACAACUGGGGAGGAAAGGGACGUGUACACAAUUUCGUGUGUGUGUGUGUGACAGUCAGUUGGCUUGACAGAGAGAACGACGACA